RNAcentral lists this long non-coding RNA (1017 nucleotides) under Equus caballus (horse). RNAcentral describes it as "lncRNA (ENSECAG00000055988.1)". The record is from RNAcentral. Lineage: Eukaryota; Metazoa; Chordata; Mammalia; Perissodactyla; Equidae.
UAUAAAUCAAAUAUAUUAAAUAAUAUUUUAUUGUAAAUUAGUAUUUGGAUAAUAUAUUACCUAAAGUCUAAAGUACGUAUAUUUUAAAACAACAUAAUAGCUUCUUCAAAAAGAGAAAAAGAAUGCAAGCCCAUUUUCUAAGUGUUCAAAAUCAAACAACACUAAAAGAACCAGUCAGAAUGAGCUGGCCCUUCUCUAAAAGCCAUGGAACAUAAAUUACUUUAACAUAUUGUGCAAAGGCAUUGUCCUGCACUAGCUCCCAUAGUCUACCUUAGAGAGAAGCUUCUGCUCAGUCAUACAUUACAGAAGAAGAAGUGUUCCAUAGCUGCUGGUUGUUAGCAGUUUAUUGUGCACUGAGAAGAACGCUGGGAGCGGCUCGGACAGUCCCUCAGCAGUCCCGGCGAAGUUACGGGAAGGGCCUCUGGGAUAGCUGUUUACUGCGCACAGGAUGAAUAAAUCAAGAUAAGAAAGCCAAGGCCCAGAGAAAUUAAGUGAUUUCUCUAGGAUUCACAGGCAGGAAUUGUCAAGGAAAAAAACCCACUAGGCAUGGGGCCGGCCCCGUGGCUGAGUGGUUAAGUUCGCGUGCUCUGCUUUGGUGGCCCAGGGUUUUGCUGGUUCAGAUCCUGGGCACGGACAUGACACUGUUCAUCAAGCCACGAUGAGGUGGCAUCCCACAUGCCACAACUAGAAGGACCCACAACUAAAAAUACACAAAAUUUGGGAAGGCUUCCCUGAGGAAGUGAUCUUUGACCUGAAAUCUAAAGAGUGAAUGAAGUGGACAAAAAGAGGUGGACAGAGGAAGAGCAAACCAGGCAGAAAGAAUAUCACAUACAAAUACUCUUAUUUGGAGAAAAGGAACACGGCAUGUACUAGGUAGGAACUGAUGUUCUUGUCAAAUAAUGAAAUAUAAAGUAAGUUUCUUGAAAAGUUAAGGGUAGGAUCCAAAAUGGAGCAAAUGCUCAGUGGGAUAUUUUUAAUAAUGUAAAAUUUGAAACAUUCUGUUGUUGGCCAACAGUG